RNAcentral lists this ribosomal RNA (229 nucleotides) under uncultured bacterium. RNAcentral describes it as "partial 16S ribosomal RNA". It matches the Rfam family "Bacterial small subunit ribosomal RNA", at positions 568 to 796 of the family's 1533-position model. The record is from RNAcentral.
UCCGUAGGCGGGCAAUUAAGUCAGAGGUGAAAUCCCACAGCUCAACUGUGGAACUGCCUUUGAUACUGGUUGUCUUGAGUUACAGUGAAGUAGAUAGAAUAUGUAGUGUAGCGGUGAAAUGCAUAGUUAUUACAUAGAAUACCGAUUGCGAAGGCAGUCUACUAACUGUAUACUGACGCUAAUGGACGAAAGCGUGGGGAGCGAACAGGAUUAGAUACCCUGGUAGUCC